CCUACGGGCGACAGCAGUGAGGAAUAUUGGUCAAUGGGCGAGAGCCUGAACCAGCCAAGUCGCGUGAAGGAUGACGGCCCUACGGGUUGUAAACUUCGUUUGUCAGGGAGCAAGUGGGGCCACGCGGGGGCGUAGCGAGAGUACCUGAAGAAAAAGCAGCGGCUCACUCCGUGCCAGCAGCCGCGGUAAUACGGAGGAUGCGAGCGUGAUCCGGAUUUCUUGGGUUGAAAGGGUGCGUAGGCGGAAGAUCAAGUCAGCGGUAAAAAUUCGGGGCUCACCCCCGUCGUGCCGUUGAAACUGGUGUUCUUGAGUUGGCGAGACGUAUGCGUCAUGCGUGGUGUAGCGGUGA
Molecule: ribosomal RNA, 349 nt
Filed under: uncultured bacterium
Lineage: Bacteria
Description: partial 16S ribosomal RNA
Rfam family: Bacterial small subunit ribosomal RNA
Source: RNAcentral